CCUACGGGAGGCUGCAGUGGGGAAUAUUGGACAAUGGGCGCAAGCCUGAUCCAGCCAUGCCGCGUGAGUGAUGAAGGCCCUAGGGUUGUAAAGCUCUUUCACCGGAGAAGAUAAUGACGGUAUCCGGAGAAGAAGCCCCGGCUAACUUCGUGCCAGCAGCCGCGGUAAUACGAAGGGGGCUAGCGUUGUUCGGAAUUACUGGGCGUAAAGCGCACGUAGGCGGAUAUUUAAGUCAGGGGUGAAAUCCCGGAGCUCAACUCCGGAACUGCCUUUGAUACUGGGUAUCUCGAGUAUGGAAGAGGUGAGUGGAAUUCCGAGUGUAGAGGUGAAAUUCGUAGAUAUUCGGAGGAACACCAGUGGCGAAGGCGGCUCACUGGUCCAUUACUGACGCUGAGGUGCGAAAGCGUGGGGAGCAAACAGGAUUAGAUACCCCAGUAGUC
RNAcentral lists this ribosomal RNA (440 nucleotides) under uncultured bacterium. Its description in RNAcentral is "partial 16S ribosomal RNA". It matches the Rfam family "Bacterial small subunit ribosomal RNA", at positions 338 to 795 of the family's 1533-position model. The record is from RNAcentral.